This 24-nucleotide microRNA is filed under the name Glycine max (soybean). RNAcentral describes it as "gma-miR4371a". The record is from miRBase by way of RNAcentral. Lineage: Eukaryota; Viridiplantae; Streptophyta; Magnoliopsida; Fabales; Fabaceae.
AAGUGAUGACAUGACAAGCGAAGU